ACAGGGCCUGGUGGGGCAGCAGUACCAUGCAAGUCGAGCGGAUGAAGGGAGCUUGCUCCUGGAUUCAGCGGCGGACGGGUGAGUAAUGCCUAGGAAUCUGCCUGGUAGUGGGGGAUAACGUCCGGAAACGGGCGCUAAUACCGCAUACGUCCUGAGGGAGAAAGUGGGGGAUCUUCGGACCUCACGCUAUCAGAUGAGCCUAGGUCGGAUUAGCUAGUUGGUGGGGUAAAGGCCUACCAAGGCGACAAUCCGUAACUGGUCUGAGAGGAUGAUCAGUCACACUGGAACUGAAACACGGUCCAGACUCCUACGGGAGGCAGCAGUGGGGAAUAUUGGACAAUGGGCGAAAGCCUGAUCCAGCCAUGCCGCGUGUGUGAAGAAGGUCUUCGGAUUGUAAAGCACUUUAAGUUGGGAGGAAGGGCAGUAAGUUAAUACCUUGCUGUUUUGACGUUACCAACAGAAUAACCACCGGCUAACUUCGUGCCAGCAGCCGCGGUAAUACGAAGGGUGCAAGCGUUAAUCGGAAUUACUGGGCGUAAAGCGCGCGUAGGUGGUUCAGCAAGUUGGAUGUGAAAUCCCCGGGCUCAACCUGGGAACUGCAUCCAAAACUACUGAGCUAUAGUACGGUAGAGGGUGGUGGAAUUUCCUGUGUAGCGGUGAAAUGCGUAGAUAUAGGAAGGAACACCAGUGGCGAAAGGCGACCACCUGGACUGAUACUGACACUGAGGUGCGAAAGCGUGGGGAGCAAACAGGAUUAGAUACCCUGGUAGUCCACGCCGUAACGAUGUCGACUAGCCGUUGGGAUCCUUGAGAUCUUAGUGGCGCACCUAACGCGAUAAGUCGACCGCCUGGGGAGUACGGCCGCAAGGAUAAAACUCAAAUGAAUUGACGGGGGGCCCGCACAAGCGGUAGAGCAUGGUGGUUUACUUCAGAGCACGCCGAAAACUCUUAACCUGGCCUGACCAUGCUGAGAACUUUCCAGAAAUGGAUUGGUGCCUUCGAGAACUCAAAAACAGGUGCUGCAUGGCUGUCGUCACCUCGUGUCGUGAAUUGUGGGUAAGCUCAAACGAGCGCACCCGUGCUCUAACUACACACCUGGGGGGGGCUCUAGGAAACUGCCCGGGGACCAACCGAG
Molecule: ribosomal RNA, 1135 nt
Filed under: Pseudomonas aeruginosa
Lineage: Bacteria; Pseudomonadati; Pseudomonadota; Gammaproteobacteria; Pseudomonadales; Pseudomonadaceae
Description: bacterial SSU rRNA
Rfam family: Bacterial small subunit ribosomal RNA
Source: RNAcentral